Molecule: ribosomal RNA, 450 nt
Filed under: uncultured bacterium
Lineage: Bacteria
Description: bacterial SSU rRNA
Rfam family: Bacterial small subunit ribosomal RNA
Source: RNAcentral
GUGGGGAAUUUUGGACAAUGGGCGCAAGCCUGAUCCAGCAAUGCCGCGUGUGUGAAGAAGGCCUUCGGGUUGUAAAGCACUUUUGGCAGGAAAGAAAUAGCGCGUGCUAAUACCAUGCGCGAAUGACGGUACCUGCAGAAUAAGCACCGGCUAACUACGUGCCAGCAGCCGCGGUAAGACGUAGGGUGCAAGCGUUAAUCGGAAUUACUGGGCGUAAAGCGUGCGCAGGCGGUUUUGUAAGACAGGUGUGAAAUCCCCGGGCUCAACCUGGGAACUGCACUUGUGACUGCAAGGCUAGAGUGUGUCAGAGGGAGGUGGAAUUCCGCGUGUAGCAGUGAAAUGCGUAGAGAUGCGGAGGAACACCGAUGGCGAAGGCAGCCUCCUGGGAUAACACUGACGCUCAGGCACGAAAGCGUGGGGAGCAAACAGGAUUAGAUACCCGGGUAGUCC